RNAcentral lists this unclassified non-coding RNA (375 nucleotides) under Hevea brasiliensis (rubber tree). Lineage: Eukaryota; Viridiplantae; Streptophyta; Magnoliopsida; Malpighiales; Euphorbiaceae. The record is from RNAcentral.
AGGGGACUGCAUCCAUGGGAUUGAUUGGAUUGCAUAUGCAUCUUCUAAGCUUGAAAUUUAAAUCAUAAUUGCAGAGAAACCCACCCACCUUUAUCUCGUCUGGUGGAGUCAUUUUGUCAUGUUCCUAAUUCAGGUAAACUAGACCAGAGGUGUGGCUGUUUUAUGUCUUAUUUCCAUCAAUAAUGCAUUGCCACUUCCACUAUGAUGCCAGAGUGAUUUGUCAGACGCCAUAUCAAAUCUUACCUUAUGACCGCCUUAAGCCAAGGACACGAGGUAUACAAUUCAAAUUGUCAAGUCACUGGCUCAUAAAUUUUUAGUCUCGCAUGGUGCCUCCAUAUAUGUCAAUAGUGAAUCACUUAACCUAUACUUCUUAAA